UCCCUGAUGGUCCAGUGGGUACGACUCUAUGCUUCCACUGCAGGGGGCACAGGUUCAAUCCCUGGUCAGGAAA
RNAcentral lists this transfer RNA (73 nucleotides) under Ovis aries (sheep). It matches the Rfam family "tRNA". Rfam says of the family: Transfer RNA (tRNA) molecules are approximately 80 nucleotides in length. Their secondary structure includes four short double-helical elements and three loops (D, anti-codon, and T loops). Further hydrogen bonds mediate the characteristic L-shaped molecular structure. tRNAs have two regions of fundamental functional importance: the anti-codon, which is responsible for specific mRNA codon recognition, and the 3' end, to which the tRNAs corresponding amino acid is attached (by aminoacyl-tRNA synthetases). tRNAs cope with the degeneracy of the genetic code in two manners: having more than one tRNA (with a specific anti-codon) for a particular amino acid; and 'wobble' base-pairing, i.e. permitting non-standard base-pairing at the 3rd anti-codon position. The record is from Rfam by way of RNAcentral. Lineage: Eukaryota; Metazoa; Chordata; Mammalia; Artiodactyla; Bovidae.